GACGAACGCUGGCGGCGUGCUUAACACAUGCAAGUCGAACGGAAAGGCCCUGCUUUUGUGGGGUGCUCGAGUGGCGAACGGGUGAGUAACACGUGAGUAACCUGCCCUUGACUUUGGGAUAACUUCAGGAAACUGGGGCUAAUACUGGAUAGGAGCUCCUGCUGCAUGAUGGGGGUUGGAAAGUUUCGGCGGUUGGGGAUGGACUCGCGGCUUAUCAGCUUGUUGGUGGGGUAGUGGCUUACCAAGGCUUUGACGGGUAGCCGGCCUGAGAGGGUGACCGGCCACAUUGGGACUGAGAUACGGCCCAGACUCCUACGGGAGGCAGCAGUGGGGAAUAUUGCACAAUGGGCGGAAGCCUGAUGCAGCAACGCCGCGUGCGGGAUGACGGCCUUCGGGUUGUAAACCGCUUUCGCCUGUGAUGAAGCGUGAGUGACGGUAAUGGGUAAAGAAGCACCGGCUAACUACGUG
RNAcentral lists this ribosomal RNA (468 nucleotides) under uncultured bacterium. RNAcentral's name for it is "partial 16S ribosomal RNA". It matches the Rfam family "Bacterial small subunit ribosomal RNA", at positions 28 to 507 of the family's 1533-position model. The record is from RNAcentral.